This 224-nucleotide long non-coding RNA is filed under the name Citrus maxima (pomelo). RNAcentral's name for it is "long non-coding RNA (CMAX_LNC004444)". Lineage: Eukaryota; Viridiplantae; Streptophyta; Magnoliopsida; Sapindales; Rutaceae. The record is from RNAcentral.
GAAAAAAAACACAACGUUAUACGCCAAUUGAAAAUACCGAAAGAAAGAAAGGAGGAAAACAAAAAAGGGGGGGAAUUAUGAAAACGAGAAGAGAGAGAAAGGAGGAUUCAGAAACUGUUCGUUCUUUGUUCGUUCGUUCUUCUUUUAAAUCAAAUAUCACAAUCUAUUAUUUCUUUUCAUUUAUUUAUUUUUCAACACCACCAACAAUUAAUUAUAAACUUAUN